This 382-nucleotide ribosomal RNA is filed under the name Anilios grypus (long-beaked blind snake). RNAcentral's name for it is "partial 12S ribosomal RNA". It matches the Rfam family "Bacterial small subunit ribosomal RNA", at positions 837 to 1381 of the family's 1533-position model. Lineage: Eukaryota; Metazoa; Chordata; Lepidosauria; Squamata; Typhlopidae. The record is from RNAcentral.
UUGGCAGAAACAAGGUUAGCACUUCACCCGCCAACCCGCCAGAUAACUACGAGUAAAAACUUAAAAUUCAAAGGACUUGACGGUGUUCCACACACAACCUAGAGGAGCCUGUCCUAUAAUCGAUAAUCCACGAUAAACCCGACCACUUUUUGCCAAACAACCUAUAUACCGCCGUCGAAAGCUCACCUUUUGAGAGAAAAAGAGUGAACAAAAGAGCCCCUCGCUAAUAUGACAGGUCAAGGUGUAGUUAAUAAAGUGGCCAGAGAUGGGCUACACUUCCUUAGCAAAGGAGAAACGGACAGCGUCAUGAAACCACGCUAGAAGGCGGAUUUAGUAGUAAAGUGGGAUUAGAAAGCUCGCUUGAACACAUUGCCCUGGGACG